RNAcentral lists this long non-coding RNA (1100 nucleotides) under Homo sapiens (human). RNAcentral describes it as "non-protein coding lnc-PUM2-3:1". The record is from RNAcentral. Lineage: Eukaryota; Metazoa; Chordata; Mammalia; Primates; Hominidae.
ACUGCUAAUGUGGCAUCUGGACAAGUCUCAGCAGCGCUGACCCUCCGUAAGCGUUGCCUCGUGUAGUAGCUGCCAGUUAUUGAGCGCUUUGGUUUUUUUUUUCUUUACAGAGUCUGUCUCAUGGGAGAUGAGGUAGGGACAGUCGUUUCUGAGACCGAUGUGUAAAGCGCCCUCCCUGCUUCCCAGCAAAUUGUGGCUACUAAUUUGCCCCCUGAAGAUCAAGAUGGCUCUGGGGAUGACUCUGACAACUUCUCCGGCUCAGGUGCAGGUGCUUUGCAAGAUAUCACCUUGUCACAGCAGACCCCCUCCACUUGGAAGGACACGCAGCUCCUGACGGCUAUUCCCACGUCUCCAGAACCCACCGGCCUGGAGGCUACAGCUGCCUCCACCUCCACCCUGCCGGCUGGAGAGGGGCCCAAGGAGGGAGAGGCUGUAGUCCUGCCAGAAGUGGAGCCUGGCCUCACCGCCCGGGAGCAGGAGGCCACCCCCCGACCCAGGGAGACCACACAGCUCCCGACCACUCAUCUGGCCUCAACGACCACAGCCACCACGGCCCAGAAGCCCACCAAACAGGAGGAAUUCUAUGCCUGACGCGGGAGCCAUGCGCCCCCUCCGCCCUGCCACUCACUAGGCCCCCACUUGCCUCUUCCUUGAAGAACUGCAGGCCCUGGCCUCCCCUGCCACCAGGCCACCUCCCCAGCAUUCCAGCCCCUCUGGUCGCUCCUGCCCACGGAGUCGUGGGGUGUGCUGGGAGCUCCACUCUGCUUCUCUGACUUCUGCCUGGAGACUUAGGGCACCAGGGGUUUCUCGCAUAGGACCUUUCCACCACAGCCAGCACCUGGCAUCGCACCAUUCUGACUCGGUUUCUCCAAACUGAAGCAGCCUCUCCCCAGGUCCAGCUCUGGAGGGGAGGGGGAUCCGACUGCUUUGGACCUAAAUGGCCUCAUGUGGCUGGAAGAUCCUGCGGGUGGGGCUUGGGGCUCACACACCUGUAGCACUUACUGGUAGGACCAAGCAUCUUGGGGGGGUGGCCGCUGAGUGGCAGGGGACAGGAGUCCACUUUGUUUCGUGGGGAGGUCUAAUCUAGAUAUCGACUUGUU